GGCGGAGUGGCUGAGGAGAAAAGCGGCCGGCUGCAAACCGGCACACGCAGGUGCGAUUCCUGUCUCCGCCUCCA
RNAcentral lists this transfer RNA (74 nucleotides) under Planctomycetota bacterium. RNAcentral's name for it is "Planctomycetes bacterium (groundwater metagenome) tRNA-Cys". It matches the Rfam family "tRNA". Rfam says of the family: Transfer RNA (tRNA) molecules are approximately 80 nucleotides in length. Their secondary structure includes four short double-helical elements and three loops (D, anti-codon, and T loops). The record is from RNAcentral. Lineage: Bacteria; Pseudomonadati; Planctomycetota.